UACGGAGGGAGCAAGCGUUACUCGGAAUUAUUGGGCGUAAAGGGCGCGUAGGCGAUUCGAUAAGUCUCAUGUGAAAUCCCAGGGCCUAACCCUGGAAUGGCAUGGGAUACUGUUGGAUUUGAGUUCCGGAGAGGAAGGCAGAAUUCCCGGUGUAGCGGUGAAAUGCGUAGAUAUCGAGAGGAACACCUGCGGCGAAGGCGGGUUGCUGGGCUGACACUGACGCUGAUGCGCGAAAGCUAGGGGAGCGAACAGG
Molecule: ribosomal RNA, 253 nt
Filed under: uncultured bacterium
Lineage: Bacteria
Description: partial 16S ribosomal RNA
Rfam family: Bacterial small subunit ribosomal RNA
Source: RNAcentral